This 253-nucleotide ribosomal RNA is filed under the name uncultured bacterium. RNAcentral describes it as "partial 16S ribosomal RNA". It matches the Rfam family "Bacterial small subunit ribosomal RNA", at positions 524 to 776 of the family's 1533-position model. The record is from RNAcentral.
UACGAAGGGGGCUAGCGUUGCUCGGAAUGACUGGGCGUAAAGGGCGCGUAGGCGGCUUGCACAGUCAGGCGUGAAAUUCCUGGGCUCAACCUGGGGACUGCGCUUGAGACGUGUGGGCUUGAGUGGGGAAGAGGGUCGUGGAAUUCCCAGUGUAGAGGUGAAAUUCGUAGAUAUUGGGAAGAACACCGGUGGCGAAGGCGGCGACCUGGUCCUUGACUGACGCUGAGACGCGAAAGCGUGGGGAGCGAACAGG